AGUAGAAUGGCUGAGGUAAUAUUAGGUUAUAGAUUGUAAAUCUAUUUAGGGGAUAAUUUCUCUUCUACUA
Molecule: transfer RNA, 70 nt
Filed under: Cryptocercus kyebangensis
Lineage: Eukaryota; Metazoa; Arthropoda; Insecta; Blattodea; Cryptocercidae
Also listed under: 1 other name
Description: tRNA-Tyr
Source: RNAcentral